Long non-coding RNA from Malaya genurostris, 868 nucleotides. RefSeq lists it as uncharacterized. The record is from RefSeq and is a predicted model, not a curated record. The transcript is spliced from 3 exons. NCBI's taxonomy places the organism in Eukaryota, Metazoa, Arthropoda, Insecta, Diptera, Culicidae.
ACAGAAUUGCUUCUGAACCACCCGUUGAAUGAGAAAGAGGAAGGAGAAACCUGAAAACGCACGACUUUUUCUUUCGUGCAGUGUCAGCCACAGAACGUGGUGGGUUAAUCUAGUUGGAGUAAAACACCCGGAAAAAAGACUAAUCGCGUCAACAGUUAUUUUCAAAAACUAAACCUAAUACCGUGCACAACAGUGUAACGGAGAUUGUGGAGAUACGCUUGUCGUUGACAUUGAAACGCGAUUCUACGAGUACGCCGCAGUCACGAAACCUAUGUAAGCCUGGCGAAAGUGCGGAUCUUUACAACUCGGUGAAAAAUAAGAGGUGUAUUUUGUCCAUGCCACGUGAACAAAUGCGUAAACCAACAAGGUCACUGAGUCAGCGGUGAAUAACCUGGAAAGGAACAGAAAUAUCCGUUCGGAUAAAGUAAGCCUUUAUUUUAAUACAUUAGAGUACGUAGAGCUCAUGCUCACGUUCUUCACAGCGAUCUUAUUAUCGGAUCCUGGCAUUUGCCCAGAGGCGAACGAGACGUAGUCUGCAUGUGAACGAGAGCAGAAACGCAUUCAAAAUAUAACCACCCCCGCGAGGGGUUGUUUUUCAUAUUUCGGAUUGGGAAGAAGAAGCAGGUGCGUAAGGCACGUCACACGCAUCAAAACUGAUCCGCGUCGAGAUAAAGCAUUAGACACAUAUUGCACAGGCACGGAUGGUGCACGUGGUGGAACGGGUAGCUCACUGUCUGAUAGAAGGGGCUGGCUGGAACGUGGAGACAACGAGUGGUGCGAAACUUGAAGGUGCGGUGGCGAUAUUAAGAAGUCACGGGUCGGGAUGGCCAAGACGACCUGCGGGAAGCUGCGAUAUUGUAGGCGUGAA